Molecule: non-coding RNA, 109 nt
Organism: Aedes albopictus (Asian tiger mosquito)
Lineage: Eukaryota; Metazoa; Arthropoda; Insecta; Diptera; Culicidae
Source: Rfam
CCUUCGAUAGCUCAGUUGGUAGAGCGGUGGACUGUAGAGGAUGUCGAGCGAUAAGCUUUGAUCAAUGGCAGUGAUCCAUAGGUCGCUGGUUCAAAUCCGGCUCGAAGGA